This 483-nucleotide ribosomal RNA is filed under the name uncultured bacterium. RNAcentral's name for it is "partial 16S ribosomal RNA". It matches the Rfam family "Bacterial small subunit ribosomal RNA", at positions 28 to 507 of the family's 1533-position model. The record is from RNAcentral.
AUUGAACGCUGGCGGCAUGCUUUACACAUGCAAGUCGAACGGCAGCGCGGGCUUCGGCCUGGCGGCGAGUGGCGAACGGGUGAGUAAUGCAUCGGAACGUGCCCCGUAGUGGGGGAUAGCCCGGCGAAAGCCGGAUUAAUACCGCAUACGACCUGAGGGUGAACGCGGGGGACCGAAAGGCCUCGCGCUAUUGGAGCGGCCGAUGUCGGCUUAGCUAGUUGGUGGGGUAAAGGCUUACUACGGCGACGAUCCGUAGCUGGGCGGAGAGGACGACCACCCACACUGAGACUGAGACACGGCCCUGACUCUGACGGAGGCAGCAGUGGGGAAUGUUGGACAAUGGGGGCAACCCUGAUCCAGCCAUGCCGCGUGCGAGAAGAAGGCCUUCGGGUCGUAAACCGCUUUUGUUCGGGAAGAAAUCCUCUGGGCUAAUACCCCGGGGGGAUGACGGUACCGGAAGAAUAAGCACCGGCUAACUACGUG